RNAcentral lists this transfer RNA (72 nucleotides) under Camelus bactrianus (Bactrian camel). It matches the Rfam family "tRNA". Rfam says of the family: Transfer RNA (tRNA) molecules are approximately 80 nucleotides in length. Their secondary structure includes four short double-helical elements and three loops (D, anti-codon, and T loops). The record is from Rfam by way of RNAcentral. Lineage: Eukaryota; Metazoa; Chordata; Mammalia; Artiodactyla; Camelidae. RNAcentral also lists the same sequence under 2 other names.
GAAGGUGUAGCUCAGUGGUAGAGUCCAUGCUUAGCAUGCAUAAGGUCCUGGGUUCAAUCCCCAGUACCUGUG